This 497-nucleotide ribosomal RNA is filed under the name uncultured bacterium. RNAcentral describes it as "partial 16S ribosomal RNA". It matches the Rfam family "Bacterial small subunit ribosomal RNA", at positions 28 to 507 of the family's 1533-position model. The record is from RNAcentral.
GAUGAACGCUGGCGGCGUGCCUAAUACAUGCCAGUCGAGCGAACGGACGAGGAGCUUGCUUCUCUGAUGUUAGCGGCGGACGGGUGAGUAACACGUGGAUAACCUACCUAUAAGACUGGGAUAACUUCGGGAAACCGGAGCUAAUACCGGAUAAUAUAUUGAACCGCAUGGUUCAAUAGUAAAAGACGGUCUUGCUGUCACUUAUAGAUGGAUCCGCGCUGCAUUAGCUAGUUGGUAAGGUAACGGCUUACCAAGGCAACGAUGCGUAGCCGACCUGAGAGGGUGAUCGGCCACACUGGAACUGAGACACGGUCCAGACUCCUACGGGAGGCAGCAGUAGGGAAUCUUCCGCAAUGGGCGAAAGCCUGACGGAGCAACGCCGCGUGAGUGAUGAAGGUCUUCGGAUCGUAAAACUCUGUUAUUAGGGAAGAACAUAUGUGUAAGUAACUGUGCACAUCUUGACGGUACCUAAUCAGAAAGCCACGGCUAACUACGUG